CUGGUUGAUCCUACCAGUAAUAUACGCUUGUCUCAAAGGUUAAGCCAUGCAUGUCUAAGUACAAACAUAAAUGGAUGUGAAACCGCAUAAGGCUCAGUACAACAGCCAUAAUUCACAAGAUCAUCCACCCAUCAGUUACUUGGAUAACUGUGGAAAAGCCAGAGCUAAUACAUGCAACAUGCCGGGUUCGCUGUCCGCUUGCGGGCGGUGGAACUGGUGCACUUAUUAGUAAAACCAACCGCCUCCGGGCGGCUUGACUUGAUGUAUGGAUAAGGAUGCCGAUCGUAUGGUCGCUUGACCGACGUCAGAUCUUGCAAAUGUCUGCCCUAUCAACAAUUAUGGUAGUGUAGAGGACUACCAUGGUUGCGACGGGUAACGGGGAAUCAGGGUUCGAUUCCGGAGAGGGAGCCUGAGAAAUGGUUACCACAUCCAAGGAUGGCAGCAGGCGCGUAAAUUACCCAAUCCCGGCACGGGGAGGUAGUGACGAGAAAUAUCAACUAUUUAUU
This 506-nucleotide ribosomal RNA is filed under the name Anopheles stephensi (Asian malaria mosquito). Its description in RNAcentral is "eukaryotic small subunit ribosomal RNA". It matches the Rfam family "Eukaryotic small subunit ribosomal RNA", at positions 4 to 492 of the family's 1831-position model. Lineage: Eukaryota; Metazoa; Arthropoda; Insecta; Diptera; Culicidae. The record is from Rfam by way of RNAcentral.